AUACGGAGGGUGCAAGCAUUGAUCGGAAUUACUGGGCGUAAAGGGCGCGUAGGCGGCUGGAUAAGUCAGAUGUGAAACUCCACGGCUCAACCGUGGAGCUGCAUUUGAAACUGUUCGGCUAGAGCGUAGUUAGGGAAAACGGAAUUCCACAUGUAGCGGUGAAAUGCGUAGAUAUGUGGAGGAACACCGGUGGUGAAGUACGGUUUUCUGGGCUAUAGCUGACGCUGAGGCGCGAAAGCUAGGGGAGC
This 248-nucleotide ribosomal RNA is filed under the name uncultured bacterium. RNAcentral's name for it is "partial 16S ribosomal RNA". It matches the Rfam family "Bacterial small subunit ribosomal RNA", at positions 523 to 769 of the family's 1533-position model. The record is from RNAcentral.